RNAcentral lists this small nuclear RNA (159 nucleotides) under Malurus cyaneus samueli. Its description in RNAcentral is "U1 spliceosomal RNA (ENSMCSG00000006106.1)". It matches the Rfam family "U1 spliceosomal RNA". Rfam says of the family: U1 is a small nuclear RNA (snRNA) component of the spliceosome (involved in pre-mRNA splicing). Lineage: Eukaryota; Metazoa; Chordata; Aves; Passeriformes; Maluridae. The record is from RNAcentral.
AUACUUACCUGCAGGGGAGGACACCAUGACAAGCCAAGGUGGUUUCCCACGGCAGGCUCAUCCUUUGCACUCCGGGUGUGCUGACCCUGCGAUUUCCCCCAAAUCGGAAACUCGACUGCAUAAUUUGUAGGUAGUGGGGACUGCUUCGCGCUCUCCCCU